This 1129-nucleotide long non-coding RNA is filed under the name Olea europaea (common olive). Its description in RNAcentral is "long non-coding RNA (OEUR_LNC013298)". The record is from RNAcentral. Lineage: Eukaryota; Viridiplantae; Streptophyta; Magnoliopsida; Lamiales; Oleaceae.
AAAAAAAGCAAAAACAAAACAAAAAUCAAAACCCUGUUCAUCUUCUCCUUCUCCUUCCCACACCACCACUUCCGCCGCUCUCCUCCACCAACUUUGCCACCUUUCUCGCCAACAUCUCCUCCCUAAUUCUUCCUUCCUCUUCCUCACACUCCAACAAACCCAUUUCUCAUAAGCUCAUCACCAUCAUCAUCUCCAUCACCCUCCUCUCAACUGCCCUCUUCGCCACUUUCCAUCUCUUUCUCUAUCAUCUACACCUCCCAAUAAAAUAGACAGCCUUUGUCUGGUCCCUCCCCAUACUACCCCACUGACACCACCUCCACUUGUCCUCUUAGACUUCAUCGCUGACACCGCCUACACAAAACAAAACAAGCCAAUAGCACACAAUAUUUAUAGUUAAUUUCUUGGUGGAUGUAAGGCAAAAACUUGAAUAAUUGAUUCCAAAUUUUGUAAUAUACAGAUUAUUACAAGGGCAGAGCUGGCGACAGCAACUGAAGUUUACCCUCUACCACGAACAAUACAAGUCUGGAAUACGCUAAUGAACUGGCUCGCCUUCUUUCAGAUCCACGGAGGCACCCUUCAGGUCCUCUCUCCUUCCACCUUUCGACUCCUCAGACACCGUCGUAAUUCAAGGCUUUACCGAUUGCUGAGUUAUCUUAGUUUCAAGAAGAAUCUGAAGAGACUCUACCUCUACCUCUACCUCCCACUGAGUGACAAAUGCUUCGCCCUUUGAGAAGAUGAACAGGAUUUUGAUUUUUUUAAAUUUUAAUUCAAAAUUAACAUUUCACCCGUUUAAAAUUGGUCAAAGUCAAUUUAUUGGGUGAAUUAACGGUUAAACUAACAAAAAUCAUCCAUUUGGACCCCAAGUGCUAAUUUUUGAAAGGUUUGGGAUUGUGGGUUACACAAAAUGAAAGUUAAGGUAAAGUCUGCAAAAAAAGUGAUAGGUUUGGGACCAUUGCUACAAUUAUCACUAGGAGAUAUCAAAAUGCAUAUUUAUAUAGUGAAAUACAAUUAGAGAUGAAGGUGCACUAACCUGAGUUUUCAUCAAAUCCUUCAACUUGAGAAGCUUCUCAUGAAAAUGAUUCAAAGUUGUCUGCUCAUCUUUGUUAAUGUAUUUAUCCUUGGACAAAUC